UAUCAAGUCGAGCCAUUAUUUUUCUGUUAGCAGCACCUUGAUUACUCUAGGAGAGCCAAUUACCCACAGAUUUCAUAUCAAACAAUGCUGCAGUGUCAAUGUAAUCAUUAAAACUUUGAAGCUGGCUUUCUGAAAGUUGUCUACCCCCCUCUUUUUCAUUUGUAUACCGAACAGUAUUAAAGUCUCCAAGAACAAUCCAAGGUACAUUGAGACAACCAUUUACAAUAUUAGUCAGGUCAGACCAAAGAGUAUUUCUU
Molecule: long non-coding RNA, 257 nt
Filed under: Musa acuminata (dwarf banana)
Lineage: Eukaryota; Viridiplantae; Streptophyta; Magnoliopsida; Zingiberales; Musaceae
Description: long non-coding RNA (MACU_LNC010682)
Source: RNAcentral